UGGGGAAUUUUGCGCAAUGGGGGAAACCCUGACGCAGCGACGCCUCGUGAAUGAUGAAGUCUUUCGGGAUGUAAAGUUCUGUCGGCGGGGACGAUUAUGACGGUACCCGCAAAGGAAGCUCCGGCUAACUACGUGCCAGCAGCCGCGGUAAUACGUAGGGAGCGAGCGUUGUCCGGAUUUAUUGGGCGUAAAGCGUGCGUAGGUGGUUUGAUAAGUUAGAUGUUAAAUACAUGGGCUCAACCCGUGUCUGCGUCUAAAACUGUUAGACUAGAGGAUGGGAGAGGAAAGUGGAACUCACAGUGUAGCGGUGAAAUGCGUAGAUAUUGUGAGGAACACCAGUGGCGAAGGCGACUUUCUGGACCAUUUCUGACACUGAGGCACGAAAGCAUGGGGAGCAAACAGG
Molecule: ribosomal RNA, 403 nt
Filed under: uncultured bacterium
Lineage: Bacteria
Description: bacterial SSU rRNA
Rfam family: Bacterial small subunit ribosomal RNA
Source: RNAcentral